CUCCCUCUUCCUCUCGCUCUCUCUCUGUCUGUGAGCUUGCGCGCACGGCUGAAGUCGUGUCCGGGAGAAGUUUCCAAUGCGUGCCUCAGGAGUGCGUGGGGACUGUGGCGCAUUGGACGAGCGGCGGUGUUGAAUGAAGGGGGAAAGGAGGAGGGAGAUCGCACAUUAACUCCUGCUGGCUGCGGGGACUCUAGUUUGUACCGAAGCGAAGGCAGAGGGAUUCACUGGGAGCAACACCGACAGCUUUUGGGACCAGAAGAGACAAAUGGAACACAAAAGCCAACCCACUUAAUUCUGUGUCUAUUUGCCUACCCGGUGUUUCCCGAGGGAUUUUACGCACCGCAAAGGAGUGAAGGAAACGCUGCAGAGAUGAGUGUUGCAUGGUUGUACAUGCCCCCGAAGGGUCCCCUCUCCUGAUAAAGGGACCAAAGAGGACCAAACGCCGUCCCUGAUAUUUUCCCAAAGAAGAUUGCAAAGGUGGAGCGAUUAGAGAAGGGCUGAUGACGGGACUAUUAAUCCUUUCAGUGCAUCAAAAGCACCAAAGGGUAUCGGAAACGCUUGGAUGGAAAUCGGGCGAGUGUUUAGAACUGUUUUUGGUUUUAUAUGAAACUGGUGAUUAGUUCAAUCUGCGAAGGAUAUUUUGUUUUUCCUCUGUAGAUUUUAAUUGAGGAGUACGUUUGCUUGUUUUGUUUCACCGAAAGAUUGCGUGACAUGAGCGGUUUCCCGGAGUGAAUUUUUAGAAACUCUCAGCUCAAUCUUUUUUUUCUCUUUAAGUAUUCCCAAAUCUAAAUGGAAUUUGUUCAGUCUGAAGCCGUUUGUGAAAGGAACAGACAUGGUACAUGGGCACAGCUUCCAUCACGUUGUUGCAAGUCUUCUCAUUCUUGGGUUGUCUGGAGCAACAAGGAAGGAUACAUCAGUGAAGAACAACUCUGGAGUGAAGCCUGCUGGUCAAUGUGGAACGUGGGUGAAAGAACCAGAAGGAGGCAUCUUCACUUCUCCCAAUCACCCAAACAAAUACCCCCCAGACACAGAGUGUGUUUACAUCCUUGAAGCACCCCCGAGGCAAUGCAUCGAUCUACACUUUGAUGAGAAUUAUUCGAUCGAGUCCUCCUGGGAAUGUAAAUUUGACAACAUCGAGGUACGGGAUGGACCGUUUGGCUUCUCCCCGAUACUGGGACGGUACUGCGGUCAGCACAGGCCGCCUUACAUCAGGAGUAGCGGCCGAUAUCUGUGGAUAAAAUUUGUUACGGACGGUGAACUGGAGGCGGUGGGGUUUUCGGCGAGCUACAACUUCACCGCAGAUCCGGACUUUGCAGACAUGGGAGUACCCCCACCUCUGCCCUCUUGUCAGUAUGACAUGGUCGGUCCAGACGGCAUCGUUGAGUCCCUUCAGAUCACCAGAGACGGGAAGGCGGAUGCCACCGAGGCCGUCGAUUGUAAAUGGUACAUCCGCGCUCCGCCGCGCUCCAAGAUCUACCUGCGUUUUCUCGACUAUGAAAUGGCCAAUUCCAACGAAUGCAAGCGCAACUUUGUAGCAGUGUACGAUGGUGGCAGCUCGGUGGAAGACCUGAAGAACAAGUUCUGCUCCACGGUGGCCAACGACAUCAUGCUGGUUUCCACGCUGGGCGUCAUCCGCAUGUGGGCAGACGAGGCCAGCCGCAAAAGCCGCUUUCGCAUCCUCUACACGACCUACCAAGAGCCUCCAUGUGAGCCAGAGGCCUUCUUCUGCCACAGCAACAUGUGCAUAAACAACACGCUGGUGUGUAACGGCCUGCAGAACUGUGUCUACCCCUGGGAUGAGAACCAAUGCAAAGAGAAGAGGAAAACCAACAUCCUGGACAACCUGAACAACACAAACGGGACCAUAAUCGGCGUCACUUGCUGCAUCGUCCUCAUCCUCCUAAUCGUCUCCGUCAUCGUCCAAAUCAAGCAGCCGCGUAAAAAGUACAUCCUCCGGCGCGAGGACUUUGACCCCACCAUGUUCCAGGAGGUCUUCGAGCCGCCCCACUACGAGCUGUGCACUCUGCGGAGCGCCACCGCGGCGGCGGCAGCGGCCUCGGCCGACCUGGUCGACCUCGCGGAAGACUUUGAGAACUACCACGGCCUGCGGCGGGCCUCCUCCCGCUGCGUCCACGACCACCACUGCGGCUCCUUCUCCAACCCCGGCUCCGCCCACCUGUCCCAGCUGUCGCUCAGCGGGCGCGGCAGUCGCGGGAACCUGAGCGCCCGAGACUCGGCGGGCGGCGCUCUGCUCGCGGACCUGCCGCAGGCGCCCAUGGCGGUGCGGCCCUUGCUGCCGUCCACCGGGAACCGCAGGAGCAUCUUGGUCAUGAAGCACAGCUACUCGCAGGAGGCGGCGGACAAUGGGUGUGACCUGGAGGACGACCUGGAGGAGGUUCCCACCACCAGCCACCGGCUGUCGCGUCACGAGAAGGCAGUACAGCGGUUCUGCCUCAUUGGCUCUUUGAGCAAACAUGAAUCAGAGUACAACACAACUAGGGUCUAAGAGACAAUUUCAAGGUAAGCUACCCUAUCCAACAAUCCAAAUCUCUAAAUGUUUUUGUGUAGUUACCAUUUGCCGAGUCAGUAUAUAUUUUGAUGCAAGUUUUCCUUUUCUGUGAUUUUUGUCUGGGUUUAUAUUUUAUGGGUUUUUUUGUUUUGUUUUUGUUUUCACCAAGAUGGUUUUAUUGCUUGCAGCCAUCUUGAGUUUGUUUUGACGUAUUUGUGAUGCUGAAGUCAACUGUAUGUCCUCCCAAGGACAUACAUUGUAUCACUCAGUGGACAUUCAUUGGCAUGGAUUCUUUAAUCAUCUUUUGUUGAAAAUGUUAUCAAAUAUGUCUAACCUCUUCACUCUCCUCCGGAGUAAAAUAAAUUUACAUCACUCAUGUGAAGUAAAUUGUUAAGUCGAUAUAUAAAAGCACAAAUUACAAAGCAAUCGCAUGUUUACAUGAAAGCAUCAAUGAUUUACACAUCUUAACUGAUCACACAUUCAUACUGAAUCCCUCUAUUGUCAUGCAUGGUGUCCCAGUCCAAUGCAGUGUUUGGUUGAUUGUCAAGUACAGUAUUUAUGCCUGUGUGUGACAGUUAAUGUGUACGCUCCAGGGCUGUGCUUCAUGAGGUUGCAAUACGCACAAUAUGAGUAUCAACAUAUGACGAAUCAAUAUGAAAUGUAAGUAAACGAUGAAAAGAACCCAUCAUUAUUUUAAAAAGGUACAUUUCAAAUGCAAAUACGGAUUUAUCUUGCAUAAUUUAUGCUUGCAGCUUUACGCUUGCAUAAAAUGGAGCAGUCACAAAAAGUGUUACCUACUGUUUUGUCUUUAAUUGUGUAAAGUGUGCUUUCAUGUUGUGUUUUGUGUGUGUGUGUGUGUGUGUGUGUCUGUCUGCUUAUGUUCUACAUUAUGUUGCAUUGUCUCCAUCAUGUAGACUUCUUGAGAAUAGUGCAAUCCUGGAUCAGUACGAACGGGCGUCGCUCGCAUAUGAAAAAGCGGAGCAGGGAUUUACACCAGCAUGAUGCUGAUGAUGCUGAUGAUGGUGAUGAUGGUGACGAUUAUGAUGAUGAUGAUGAUGAUGAAGGGACCCUUUGACGACAGGAUACUGAAUCUGUAUUCAUGUACAAAGAUGAACACAAAGGACUAGAUGAAAUGCUGUGAAGCGCAUCAGCUCUGUACGCACUGCAGUAAACCCAGAAUGUAUGCGUCACUGUAAAAGAGAUGGACCUUUUCAGAAUGACUGAUUACUGAUUAUUCUCUGGUAAACGUUAAAAUAUGGGAUGUCAGUCAGAAACAUAUCGGUCACUGUUAAUGAUUCCUCACUGAAAACUAAAGAAAUAUGAUCAAACAUCUUCAUGUUUAUUUCUAAGCAUGUAUUUUUUAAAUGAAUAGCACACAUGUUAUCAUUUUAUAGCAAACUUUAGAUGCCCGCAAUUUUUUUAAUCUAGAUUUAUUUUAUAAAAAAGGUAAAAAUUUGGUUUAAUUACUAACCUUGAUCAAUUUAAAGCUGUUGGAAUACCCACAAAUAGUGGGUAUAUAUAGUAUACUAUAGUAUAUAAUUUGGAUAACAGUUCAAGGCUGAGAUAUGCAUGCUUAUUUUCUAUUCAACCAACAUUAACUUACUAACAUUAAAGUUCCCCCCCAUCUACUAAUACAUAUCUCUUAACACAUAGAGUACUGAGGCAUCUCAAAUAUGAAAUACACUGCAUGCUGUUGCUUAUUCAAUCAAGAGAAUUGCGCAACUUCAUUUAAACUUCAUUUACACACUUUAAAACCCCCUUUUAAAUACGUUGACUAACUUCCCCGCAGACGUUUUUACUUUCAAAAGGAGUUAUUUUUUUGGUAAAGAUAUUUACUUCAAGUCUGUUUGUCUUCUAACUCUCUUCAACUGCAGGAGCUUAAUAUAUUUGUAUUAAAAACAGACUUUUAUAUUAGGAGAAGUUGAAAGGAUGUUUUUUUCACGGUAACUAAUUAUCUUUCAGGCCUGGUUUUACUGAUGCUUUGUAAAAUAAAUGAAAAUAAAGCUUCGCCUAUUUAAUUUCUCUUUUUUUUAUUGGCUUCUGGUCAUCAAUUCCUGUUUUCAUUUGGUGUGUCCUCAACCUGUCAACACACGCCAUCCAUGACUCACCUUCAUGAACAGAUGUUCUUUUUGUUUGUUGUGGCUACUUUUCUUUAAGAAGAAGACCAAAACCAAAAGGAUUUGUUUCACAAAGCAGGACAAUAAAACGAGUCCUGGACAAUUCAAAUAAUCACAGGUAUUUGCGAGUUAAGUCACUUUUGUGUUUUCUGUGUAUACUGCAGAAGAGAUGCUCGCUGUAACAACACUCACUGGUGGCAGGCUGCUUUUGUAGGUAAAACAACCUUUAAUAUAUGGAAGACGAGAAUGGUAGAUCAGCUGUGCAAAAUAAAACAAAUUGCACUCACUCGCACAUGACAUUCUCUUUUUUUCCCACACUUUUACAUUUCCUGAGUUCCAAUUUCCGUUGUGCUGUGUCUGUUUUUACAUUUUCUCUGUGUGCAUUAUAUUCUGUAUUCAAUGUCAUGUAUGUAUUAUUUACAUCCAUGCUGUCUUUUUCCUCCAUGUACACAUGCAUCACAUACUGAAUUAAAGUGUUGUUUUCUAUACGAGCAUUGUUCUCACGCCUGUGUCUUUUCUGUCAGUUUCAUUAUUUUGCCAAAGCUUCUGGCAAAACAGUCCAAACAGCUCACUCAAAUUCUCUCUUCUUCACUCUCUCCCAAACACACACACACAAAGUCAUAAACUCAUCUUCCAAUAUAUAGAUGGAGGCAGACAGCCCUGUAAUUAAAUACAUCAGACAGAUGCGGCAUCAUUCCACGGCACCUUCGCCAAUUUGAAAGCAUUCGGAGCGAAGGUUUUAUGUAGAGAGUUGUGGUGAAAAAAAAAAAAGGUUUGUGAUGUUCUUGUUCUUUGCUUUGGGACCGCUAAAGUGCAUUUUCCUCGUACCAGUGCUCCGCAGGCUGCUGGGAUCGACAAGCGCUGGAACACUGAUGGUAUCAAACAGAGGCCUGGAACUUUUCUUUUUUUUUUUUUAGAAAGUACCUUUAAUGUAAAGUUGUUUUUGGAGAAAAAAAAAAAAUCAGGUUUUUUAAACCAUUUUCAUGUUUCCAUCAAGAUAUGUGAAAUUGCAUAUUUUAGCUGCUGAUUUCAUAUCAGGUUGUUUUUAUAUCCAGAUAAGUAGAGAAAGCCUUAUUGAGAAAACACAAAAUGUUGAAGAAUGUUUGAAAUAAAGUGAAAUGAUGUAACUUCAUAAAUUGGUGCAGAGGCCAAUACAUUAUUCCACUGACCUAUCAACUAACAUUUUUUUUCCCAUUUCACAGAUGUCUGAACAUCCAUUACUUUAUCUUUGUAAAACUAAAUUGCAUUGUGGUAUUUUCAGUUUUUUAACCUGUUUGCAUAUUUAUUUGAUAACAGAAAAUGCUGGACCGAAUGUUUCAAAUAAAGUAAUGUUUACUGAU
Molecule: non-coding RNA, 5966 nt
Organism: Gasterosteus aculeatus aculeatus (three-spined stickleback)
Lineage: Eukaryota; Metazoa; Chordata; Actinopteri; Perciformes; Gasterosteidae
Source: RefSeq, a predicted model, not a curated record